This 507-nucleotide ribosomal RNA is filed under the name uncultured bacterium. Its description in RNAcentral is "partial 16S ribosomal RNA". It matches the Rfam family "Bacterial small subunit ribosomal RNA", at positions 28 to 507 of the family's 1533-position model. The record is from RNAcentral.
GACGAACGCUGGCGGCGUGCCUAAUACAUGCAAGUCGAACGCAUAUUCUUUCACCGUAGCUUGCUACACCGAAAGAAAAUGAGUGGCGAAGGGGUGAGUAACACGUGGGUAACCUGCCCAUCAGCGGGGUAUAACACUUGGAAACAGGUGCUAAUAGCGCAUAAUUCCAUUUACCGCAUGGUAAAUGGAUGAAAGGCACGUUUGCGUCACUGAUGGAUGGACCGGCGGUGCAUUGGCUAGUUGGGGGGGUAACGGCCCACCAAGGCUGGGAUGCAUACCCGACGGUAGUGGGUGAGCGGCUGCCGUGGGAAUGAGACACGGCCCAGACUCCUACGGGGGGCAGCGGUAGGGAAUCUUCGGCGCUGGAGGCAAGUCUGACCGAGCGACGCCGCCUGAGUGGAGAAGGUUUUCGGGUCCUAAAACUCGGUUGUUAUUGAAGAACAAUGAUGAGAGUGGAAAGUUCAUACCUUGACGGUAUCUAACCAGAAAGCCACGGCUAACUACGUG